This 250-nucleotide ribosomal RNA is filed under the name uncultured bacterium. RNAcentral's name for it is "partial 16S ribosomal RNA". It matches the Rfam family "Bacterial small subunit ribosomal RNA", at positions 524 to 773 of the family's 1533-position model. The record is from RNAcentral.
GACGGAGGGGGCAAGCGUUGUCCGGACUCACUGGGCGUAAAGGGUGCGUAGGCGGUCUGGUGCGUCGGCGCUGAAAUCUGUGGGCUUAACCCACAGGCGCGUGUCGAUACGAUGAGACUUGAGGCUCUGAGAGGGUGGCGGAACUCCUGGUGUAGUGGUGAAAUGCGUAGAGAUCAGGAAGAACACCCGUGGCGCAAGCGGCCACCUGGCAGAGUUCUGACGCUGAGGCACGAAAGCGUGGGGAGCGAAC